RNAcentral lists this transfer RNA (85 nucleotides) under Felis catus (domestic cat). It matches the Rfam family "tRNA". Rfam says of the family: Transfer RNA (tRNA) molecules are approximately 80 nucleotides in length. Their secondary structure includes four short double-helical elements and three loops (D, anti-codon, and T loops). Lineage: Eukaryota; Metazoa; Chordata; Mammalia; Carnivora; Felidae. The record is from Rfam by way of RNAcentral.
ACCUGGGUAGCUCAGUUGGUUGGGCAUCUGACUUCGGCUCAGGUCAUGAUCUCGCAGUCUGUGAGUUUAAGCCUCAUGUCGGGUU